UACGUAGGGGGCAAGCGUUGUCCGGAUUUAUUGGGCGUAAAGAGCGUGUAGGCGGCCACACAGGUCAGCUGUGAAAACUCGAGGCUCAACCUCGAGACGUCGGUUGAAACCGUAUGGCUAGAGUCCGGAAGAGGAGAGUGGAAUUCCCGGUGUAGCGGUGAAAUGCGCAGAUAUCGGGAAGAACACCCGUGGCGAAGGCGG
Molecule: ribosomal RNA, 201 nt
Filed under: uncultured bacterium
Lineage: Bacteria
Description: partial 16S ribosomal RNA
Rfam family: Bacterial small subunit ribosomal RNA
Source: RNAcentral